Molecule: long non-coding RNA, 385 nt
Organism: Lagopus leucura (white-tailed ptarmigan)
Lineage: Eukaryota; Metazoa; Chordata; Aves; Galliformes; Phasianidae
Exons: 3
Source: RefSeq, a predicted model, not a curated record
CCGGCUGCUGACCCGCCCCCUAUGUCUAUGGGGCACCUGCAGUUCCCGGCUCCUGGUCGCCAUGGGGGCAGUGGGGGCUGUGCCACCCCCCCUGUGGGGCCGAGCCCAAGAGGAGCCGCGUCCGCCGCUGCCGCCCCAUAGAGCCGCAGUACCCGCUGAUGACGACCAAGGUGGGUUCCGCCACCCCUGUGAACGUCACUUUCUGGGGGGAGGCGCUGCCCCGUUGCGCCCCACUUUUGGGGCAGACGAGAGAGCUGGAGGAGAGCCGGCCCUGCCUGCAUCCGUGGGGCUGCCCCACAGAUGGGGAGGACUGACGGCCGCCGGACCCCCAGAUCUGCGCCUUUUCCCCCCAAUUUCCUCCCCUCAAUAAAACCCCAGCAAUGCA